RNAcentral lists this ribosomal RNA (465 nucleotides) under uncultured bacterium. RNAcentral describes it as "partial 16S ribosomal RNA". It matches the Rfam family "Bacterial small subunit ribosomal RNA", at positions 28 to 507 of the family's 1533-position model. The record is from RNAcentral.
GACGAACGCUGGCGGCGUGCUUAACACAUGCAAGUCGAACGGAAAGGCCCUGCUUGCCGGGUACUCGAGUGGCGAACGGGUGAGUAACACGUGGGUGAUCUGCCCUGCACUUCGGGAUAAGCCUGGGAAACUGGGUCUAAUACCGGAUAGGAGCCAUUUUUAGUGCGAUGGUUGGAAAGUUUUUUCGGUGUAGGAUGAGCUCGCGGCCUAUCAGCUUGUUGGUGGGGUAAUGGCCUACCAAGGCGGCGACGGGUAGCCGGCCUGAGAGGGUGGACGGCCACAUUGGGACUGAGAUACGGCCCAGACUCCUACGGGAGGCAGCAGUGGGGAAUAUUGCACAAUGGGCGCAAGCCUGAUGCAGCGACGCCGCGUGGGGGAUGACGGCCUUCGGGUUGUAAACUCCUUUCGCUAGGGACGAAGCUUUUUGUGACGGUACCUAGAUAAGAAGCACCGGCUAACUACGUG